This 440-nucleotide ribosomal RNA is filed under the name uncultured bacterium. Its description in RNAcentral is "bacterial SSU rRNA". It matches the Rfam family "Bacterial small subunit ribosomal RNA", at positions 338 to 795 of the family's 1533-position model. The record is from RNAcentral.
CCUACGGGCUGCAGCAGUAGGGAAUAUUGGACAAUGGGGGCAACCCUGAUCCAGCAAUGCCGCGUGAGUGAUGAAGACCUUAGGGUUGUAAAGCUCUUUUACCCGGGAUGAUAAUGACAGUACCGGGAGAAUAAGCCCCGGCUAACUCCGUGCCAGCAGCCGCGGUAAUACGGAGGGGGCUAGCGUUGUUCGGAAUUACUGGGCGUAAAGCGCACGUAGGCGGCGAUUUAAGUCAGAGGUGAAAGCCCAGGGCUCAACCCCGGAACUGCCUUUGAGACUGGAUUGCUUGAAUCCGGGAGAGGUGAGUGGAAUUCCGAGUGUAGAGGUGAAAUUCGUAGAUAUUCGGAAGAACUCCAGUGGCGAAGGCGGCUCACUGGACCGGCAUUGACGCUGAGGUGCGAAAGCGUGGGGAGCAAACAGGAUUAGAUACCCGUGUAGUC